CCUGCCGGCGACCGGCGCACGGGUGAGUAACACGUAUGAAACCUGCCCGUAGCAGGGGGAUAAGCGGAAGAAAUUCCGUCUAAUACCGCGUAACAACCCGAGGAGGCAUCUCCUCGGGUUUAAAGGAAGCGAUUCCGGCUACGGAUGGUCAUGCGUCGCAUUAGCUAGUUGGCGGGGUAACGGCCCACCAAGGCGACGAUGCGUAGGGGUUCUGAGAGGAAGGUCCCCCACACUGGUACUGAGACACGGACCAGACUCCUACGGAAGGCAGCAG
Molecule: ribosomal RNA, 274 nt
Filed under: uncultured bacterium
Lineage: Bacteria
Description: partial 16S ribosomal RNA
Rfam family: Bacterial small subunit ribosomal RNA
Source: RNAcentral